RNAcentral lists this long non-coding RNA (495 nucleotides) under Pan troglodytes (chimpanzee). Its description in RNAcentral is "long non-coding RNA NONPTRT011798". The record is from RNAcentral. Lineage: Eukaryota; Metazoa; Chordata; Mammalia; Primates; Hominidae.
GGGUGGGGUCCCCAGGAUGGGAUUAGUGCCUUUCUAAGAGACAGAAGAAAGCUUGCUCUCUCUCUUUCUCCUCUCCACAUGAGGGCAUAGCAAGAAGGCAGCCAUCUACAAGCUAGGAUGAGAGCCCUCACCAGAACCCAACCAUGCUGGCACCCUGAUCUUGGAAUUCCAGCCAUCCAAAUGAGUCAAGGCCACGGAUGGAGCAGGAGCUGUCACCGGUCAGUUUUCCAACCACGGGGAUGGAGCGUCCUGUAGUCCCAGAUUCCAGGGAAGCAUCCUUCAUUAAGGCUUUGAGCCACAGGGUCAAACUGAACUCCUUCCUGCUGUUCCUGUAAUGCGGCACUCAGACUGGAUCCCUGUUUUUGAAGAAGUAAAUGUCUAGAAACAGGGACAAACUGGUAUUUAAAAAUUACUAGUGGCCUUCUUUUUCCUUCUAUCAGUUUCCCCACAGUUGGAACAAAGCUUACCUUUUGAGAAAACUGUUUAGAAGUCCAG